GAUGAACGCUGGCGGCGUGCUUAACACAUGCAAGUCGAACGAAGCACUUUAGUUUGAUUUCUUUCGGAUUGAUUCUAAAGUAGACUUAGUGGCGGACGGGUGGAGUAACGCGUGGGUAACCUGCCUCGUACAGGGGGAGUAACAGUUAGAAAUGACUGCUAAUACCGCAUAACCCGCUAAGGUCGCAUGACCUGGACGGAAAAGAUUUAUCGGUACGAGAUGGACCCGCGUCUGAUUAGCUAGUUGGUGAGGUAACGGCCCACCAAGGCGACGAUCAGUAGCCGGCCUGAGAGGGUGGACCGGCCACAUUGGGACUGAGACACGGCCCAA
Molecule: ribosomal RNA, 330 nt
Filed under: uncultured bacterium
Lineage: Bacteria
Description: bacterial SSU rRNA
Rfam family: Bacterial small subunit ribosomal RNA
Source: RNAcentral